Molecule: ribosomal RNA, 458 nt
Filed under: uncultured Oscillospiraceae bacterium
Lineage: Bacteria; Bacillati; Bacillota; Clostridia; Eubacteriales; Oscillospiraceae
Description: bacterial SSU rRNA
Rfam family: Bacterial small subunit ribosomal RNA
Source: RNAcentral
CCCGCACAAGCAGUGGAGUAUGUGGUUUAAUUCGACGCAACGCGAAGACCUUACCAGGGUUUGACAUCCCUUGACGAUCGCAGAGAUGCGAGUUCCCUUCGGGGACAAGGAGACAGGUGGUGCAUGGUUGUCGUCAGCUCGUGUCGUGAGAUGUUGGGUUAAGUCCCGCAACGAGCGCAACCCCCUGUUGCCAGUUGCCAUCAUUCAGUUGGGCACUCUGGCGAGACUGCCGUUGACAAAACGGAGGAAGGUGGGACGACGUCAAAUCAUCAUGCCCCUUAUAUCCUGGGCUACACACGUACUACAAUGGCCGCAACAGAGGGCAGCCAGGCCGCGAGGUCGAGCGAAUCCCCAAAAGCGGUCUCAGUUCGGAUUGCAGGCUGCAACUCGCCUGCAUGAAGUCGGAAUUGCUAGUAAUGGCAGGUCAGCAUACUGCCGUGAAUACGUUCCCGGGCCUU